Long non-coding RNA from Artibeus jamaicensis (Jamaican fruit-eating bat), 793 nucleotides. RefSeq lists it as uncharacterized. Lineage: Eukaryota; Metazoa; Chordata; Mammalia; Chiroptera; Phyllostomidae. The record is from RefSeq and is a predicted model, not a curated record. The transcript has 3 exons.
UUUCCUGAAAAUUACAUGAAAAUUGAUUAGAUGGGAGGGACAGCAUCUACCAUGUUACUGCACCUUUGAGGGAAGAGGAGGGAGUCUGAUUGUUUCGCUAACAUAGUAAGAUGAAAAUGUUUCUUUUUUUUUCAUCUUUCAGUAGUAAAUUCCAAGACCCUAAAAUAAAUGGAAAACAAGCCAAAGUCUUCCAAAUAAGACUCUCACUGCACAUUUUCCCAGGAGAACUGUACCAGCUUACUUGUGAGUCUGCUUCUGCAUACACUCGGACCACGUCUUCAGUACCAGAGGGCCGGACGAAAGCGCGGGACAGCUUGUACUUCUUCACCAGGUUCCUACUGAGCAGCUAGCCUCGGGAAGCACUCUGCGAACCAAGAAUAAAAAGGAAGUAUUUUCACUGAAAACGAUAGGCUGUCCAGGAUUUGCUCCAAAGUAGUGUGGGGUGUGGAGAGUGUUCAGGACAAUACAAACCUGCUGAAUCUGGGCACACAGGGGCUCAUUAUUUUUACUCCACUUGUAUGUUGUAAAUUUUUCGUAGUAAAAAUUUAAAAAUGACGUGUGUCAUUAAAAGUUUGGAAACCAAAUACUUCUCAAACAAGAGAAUAGUUAAGAGCGCCUCUGUAAUUUUUAAAGAUAGAAGAAAAUAUAAUUAGAUAAUAUAAGGCAUUAUUUUCUGUGUAAUAUGUACAUAUGGGACGAAAUAUGACACACUUGGGAAAUAUUUUUAUGAAGUGAGAUUUGAAAUAACAGCUUUAAACUUUCAGAAAAGUAGUUAAGAUCGUGGUCCCACCUG